UCCCUGGUGGCUCAGAUGGUAAAGCGUCUGCCUGCAAUGCGGGAGACCCGGGUUCAAUUCCUGGGUCGGGAA
Molecule: non-coding RNA, 72 nt
Organism: Bos taurus (domestic cattle)
Lineage: Eukaryota; Metazoa; Chordata; Mammalia; Artiodactyla; Bovidae
Source: Rfam